This 410-nucleotide ribosomal RNA is filed under the name uncultured bacterium. Its description in RNAcentral is "bacterial SSU rRNA". It matches the Rfam family "Bacterial small subunit ribosomal RNA", at positions 11 to 424 of the family's 1533-position model. The record is from RNAcentral.
GUUUGAUCAUGGCUCAGAUUGAACGCUGGCGGUAUGCUUAACACAUGCAAGUCGAACGGUAGCAGGCCUUCGGGCGCUGACGAGUGGCGGACGGGUGAGUAACGCGUAGGAAUCUGCCUCAUAGUGGGGGACAACGUGGGGAAACUCACGCUAAUACCGCAUACGCCCUACGGGGGAAAGCGGGGGAUCUUCGGACCUCGCGCUAUGAGAUGAGCCUGCGUUAGAUUAGCUAGUUGGUAGGGUAAAGGCCUACCAAGGCGACGAUCUAUAGCUGGUCUGUAGAGGACGAAUCAGCCACACUGGGACUGAGACACGGCCCAGACUCCUACGGGAGGCAGCAGUGGGGAAUAUUGGACAAUGGCGCAAGCCUGAUCCAGCAAUACCGCGUGUGUGAAGAAGGCCUUAGGGUU